Molecule: ribosomal RNA, 460 nt
Filed under: uncultured bacterium
Lineage: Bacteria
Description: partial 16S ribosomal RNA
Rfam family: Bacterial small subunit ribosomal RNA
Source: RNAcentral
CCUACGGGAGGCAGCAGUGAGGAAUAUUGGUCAAUGGACGAGAGUCUGAUCCAGCCAAGUAGCGUGAAGGAUGACUGCCCUAUGGGUUGUAAACUUCUUUUAUAUGGGAAUAAAAUGUUACACGUGUGGGCUUUUGUAUGUACCAUAUGAAUAAGGAUCGGCUAACUCCGUGCCAGCAGCCGCGGUAAUACGGAGGAUCCGAGCGUUAUGCGGAUUUACUGGGUUUAAAGGGAGCGUCGGUGGAUGGUUAAGUCAGUUGUGAAAGUUUGCGGCUUAACCUGAGAAUUGCAGUUGAAACUGGCAGUCUUGAGUACAGUAGAGGUGGGCGGAAUUCGUGGUGUAGCGGUGAAAUGCUUAGAUAUCACGAAGAACUCCGAUUGCGAAGGCAGCCCACUGGACUGAGACUGACACUGAGGCUCGAAAGUGUGGGUAUCAAACAGGAUUAGAUACCCCUGUAGUC